Molecule: long non-coding RNA, 458 nt
Organism: Brienomyrus brachyistius
Lineage: Eukaryota; Metazoa; Chordata; Actinopteri; Osteoglossiformes; Mormyridae
Exons: 4
Source: RefSeq, a predicted model, not a curated record
ACAGGCAGGUGGUCAGGCAGGGGGACAGACAGACAGACAGAGAGAGACAGACAGGCAGGUGGUCAGGCAGGUAGACAGACAGACAGACAGACAGAGACAGACAGACAGGCAGGUGGUCAGGCAGGUAGACAGACAGACAGACAGACAGACAGAGAGAGACAGACAGGCAGGUGGUCAGGCAGGUAGACAGACAGACAGACAGACAGACAGAGACAGACAGGCAGGUGGUCAGGCAGGUAGACAGACAGACAGACAGACAGACAGACAGACAGACAGAGACAGACAGGCAGGUGGUCAGGCAGGUAGACAGACAGACAGACAGACAGACAGAGACAGACAGGCAGGUGGUCAGGCAGGGGGACAGAGAAACAGGCAGAGAAGCAGGAAUCAGAAUUAAAAACAAUUCACCCUCAAGACAGCUAAAGACAUAGCAUUCGAUUAUAAACCAAAGAGCCAGU